This 387-nucleotide ribosomal RNA is filed under the name Triticum aestivum (bread wheat). RNAcentral's name for it is "partial small subunit ribosomal RNA". The record is from RNAcentral. Lineage: Eukaryota; Viridiplantae; Streptophyta; Magnoliopsida; Poales; Poaceae.
AUGGCACGCAACCCCGCCGGCUCCAUGGAUGUCUACGCAGUCAUCGUCCUUAACUGCUGUCUAGCGUCUGUGACCUCUGUUGGCCUCAUCAUGGUCUGCGCGGUUGGGGCGUCAAUCACGUGUUCAGCGGCAUGUCAGAGCAACUCUCUGGCCAGAACCCUGACUAUGUGCGCUUCAGAUUUUGGGAGAACACUGUUGUCCACGUUAUAUCAUAUACUUCCAAAUUAUAAAGCGUUCUUGUUGUAUGUGUCCCUGGUUUUAUUACCACUAGAACAUGUUGACCUAAUUGUCCAUGAUUUUGAGAGAACACUGUUGUCCACGUUAUAUCGUAUACUUCCAAAUUAUAAAGAGUUCUUGUUAUAUAUCCUGCCCACCUUGAAGUCAUAA